AUUGCUGUGGCUGUGGUAUAAGCCAGCAGUUGCAUAUAUGAUUUGACCCUUAGCCUGGGAACUUCCAUAUAAUGUUCCUGUGGCCCAAAAAAGAAAAAAAAAAGUGAAGGCUGUUGCCUGAAUGACAACAAAAGAAUAGUAGGGAACCAAUAAAUGUCUACUCUUUCAUGUAAAAUAGAGAAUAAAGAUACUUACCUAGAUAUUUUAAUCAUUUAGCUCUAUUGUAGUUGUAAAUUUUAAUAGACUUUAUUAUUGAGAACAGAUUUAAGUUCUUAGCAAAAUGGAAUGGCAGCUACAGAGAUUUCCCAUAUUCCCCUCUGCAUCCAUUGAUUCAUAGCCUCCCCUUUUAUCAACACCACCCCACUAUAGUGAUACAUUUGUAACAAUUGAUGAGCCUGAAGUGACACAUCAUUAUCACCCAAAGUCCAUGGCUUACACUAGGGUUUACUCUUGGUAUUUUGCCUUCUAUGGGUCUAGACAAAUGGUUGAUAAUGUGUCUCCACCAUUGUAUCACACAGUAUUUUCAUGACCUAAAAAUCCUUUGUGCUCUAUCUAUUCAUCCCUCCCUCCCACUAGGCAAACACUUAUCUUCUUACUCUCUCCUUAAUUUUACCCUUUCUGCAAUGUCAUUUGGGUGGAAUCAUAUAGUAAGUAGCCUUUUAAGAUUGACUUUUUUUCUUAGUAAUAUGCAUUUAAGUUUCAUCUAUGUCUAUCCGUGGGUUGCUGUAGCUGCCAGAGUACGCCAGAGCGACAGCAACUCAGGAUCUGAGCUGCAUUGGCCAUCUACACCAUAGCUCAUGGCAAACCAAGAUCCUUAACCCACUGAACGAAGCCAGGGAUUGAAUCCGCAUCCUCAUGGAUACUAGUCGGGUUCAUUAACCACUGAGCUAGGACAGGAACUCCUAUACUAUUGUUUUUAAUUUGCAUUUUCACCGAGGACAUAGAAUGUGAAGCAUGUUUUCAUAUGCUUAUUUGCCAUUUUCUUUGAUGAGAUAACUGUUAAGGCCUUUGACCUAGUUUUUAAUUGGGUUGUUUUUUUUCUUAUUGUUUUCUUUCGUGUAUUUUGGAUAGCAGUCCUUUAUCAGAUAUCUUUACAAAGGUAUUCUGUCAGUCUGUGUCUUAUAUUAUUAUUCUCUUAAUAGUGUCCUUUGCAUAAAAGAACUUUUUGAUUUUAAUGAAGUCCAGUUUAUCAAGGCUUUCUUCCAUGGAUCAUGCCAUUGGUGUCAUAUUCCAAAAAGUCAUCCUCGAAUACCAAGGUCAUUUAGAUGUUCUCCUAUGUUAUUUCCUAAGAGUUUCACGGUUAUUUUGCCUUUGAAGCAUAGGUCUGUGAUCCAUUUUUGAGUUCAUUUUUAUGAAGGGUGUUAGGUUUAUGUCUAGAUUCAUUCGUUUAUUUAUUUAUUUACUUGCCUGUAGAUGUCCACUUAAUUGACCACCAUUUAUUGCAAAGACUUUAUUGUAUGGCUUUGCUCUUGUGUCAGAGAUCAGUUGACUAUACAUCCAUGCGUUUAUUUCUAGGCUCUCUAUUCUAUUCUAUUACCCCUAUUAUAUUUGCAUUUAUGCUGAUCAUCAUGGUCUUUUCUUAUACUUGCUGAGUUGGCAUCAAUCAGGACCCUCAUAGUUAAAAUUAUGCUGAAGGAUUUUUAACCCUUAAAGUAUAUUUUGAUCUAUAAUUCUAGGUUUAAGUAGUCAAUACGGAAGUACUUUUUAACUGAAGCCACUAUUUUAUUUUUAACAUGGUGCUGCUUGUACAUCUGGCAGCCUGCAGAUAGCUGGAAACAGUUUGGAUGUCCUUGAAAUGAAAAAUAAUCACAUGGUUAUAAUCUCUGGAUUUCUCUUUGGAUUUAUCCAAGUCAAGAAGGUUGAGACAGAAAUAAUUAUUUUCCAAAUAUCUUCCCCAAGCUGCAUUCCUUUUCUUUGGUUUAUUGCACAGGUGUAUCUCCACAUACAGAUGUAGGCCUUUUAAAAAUGGUCCCCGGUUUAUUGGGAAUCUAAUACUGACUUUGUUAAGAAAAUAUAACCUACUAAUUGUCUUGCAAACAUCCAGUUUUUUUUUUUUUUGGCAUAAUCUUUAUGAUUAAACAUAUGUAAGUUAAAAAAAAAAAAAGGAACUUAACUACUUAGAUUCUAAGAGAUUCCAAAUGGGAAAUUAAACAUUGAUUAUUAUGCUUCUUUAACAGAUUGUAGAAGGCAUUUGUUUGGGAGGUGUCCAAAUGAUAAUAGAUACAGAACAACAGGGGCCAGAUGACUCUAAAGCAUAAUAAAUAAAGAUGGGAAACAAGACUUGAUUUAAACUAGCAAACAUGUAAUGAUUUAGUGUUCUCCAAAGUAUGUUCUUAGGACACUAAUUCUGCAAGUGUUGCUUGAUCAGACAAGUGGGGAAAUGCUGCAUUCUGUAUUCUCCUCUUGGAAAUUAAAAAUGAACAUUGUCAUAGUAAGUUUUCUGAAAGGUCACAUGUUAAAAAUAAUACUAAACCCUGUUCAACUCUUAAGAUGGGAUUUCUUAAACUUACUUUGACCUCAGAACUGUUUGCAUAAACAGCUAUUAACAUCUUAGAGCUUAUAGGACCACAGAACAAAUUUGGAAAAAUAUGUUAACCUUUUCACAAUGUUUUUAAAAAGCCACAAUGUUGUGUCCUGAUUAAAAAAAAAAAAAUCCACAGAAUGUAUGCUGUUCUCAGUUUAGUCAAUAGAAUAGGGGACUUUUUAUAUACAAAUAUUAUCGAAAGUAAGUAUCCACUCACAUUUCCCAGGUAAAAGGAAAGGAUAAUUUUCCUGGAAAAAGCAGCAUGAACACUUGCCAAGCCCUUGCAUAAAUUAGUGUUUAUUAUUAUAAAUGAUAAAUACUUUAGCCAUUGAGAGAGAAUUUCUUUUGCUUUAUUCCCAAAUUUGCAAUGAAAACCAUACUUAAAUAAUUCCUUUUGUAAUAUACUCCUGCAAAGUAAAAUUGUCUUUAAAAUUAACCUUUUCUAACAUAUAAUUUUCACAAUUAAUUCCUGACAAAGCAGAAUAUGAAAAGAAAAACAAACCUCACUCAUAUCCAUUGUGAUCUGUAUGGAGUUUAUUCUAUGUGGUAGGAACUACUGGUUAAUUUAGCUAAUUUCUCAGAAGAGCUGAUGGGGAAAUUUUAUCUUACUUAAGUUGGUAUAUUUGGUUGUCAUAUGCUAAUAGACAAUAAUUUUGAUAUAACUUUAAAUUAUAUAAUUUCAUUACAAUUUAUGUCUUCUUAGCUUAAAAAUAAUUGCCUUUCUCCUAAAUGAACACCACAUAAUUUUUUAGUUGAAUCUGAAAAGUGAUUUUGCUAAAGAAACUCACUGGCAACUAGCUGAAUAUGAGGGAUGGAGUCCCUGUUUUCAACCAGCAAACUAUCAAAGCCAUAUGCAAAAUCUGAGGAAGGAAGAUGUAGGCCCAGGAAGAACUCUUCAUGUGAGGACCCUGUAAAUGCAAGAAAAACAAUUUUAAACCACAGAAGGUCCAAAUGAUAAAUGAGAAUAGAGUAUCAAUAGUACAUUGUUACAAAAUAAUGUUCUCAUACCAAUAAAUGGAAAAGUACCAAAAUCAAACCUACCAAGGUUACUUUUCAAAAUAAUGCUAUUCUAAAAGAAAAUGAACUCAUAAUUUGGAAAAGCCACACACUAUGAAACACAGAGAGAAAUAACCCACUCUUCUGCUACCAAAAACUGCAAUAUUUUGAAACAUUUCAUUCUGGUUCGUCUCUCAUUUUUUCACUGAGCGUAGACUCUAUGUAUUUUGCCAAGCCAAUUUAAAGUAAAAUGAACAUCCUUUUAGUAGUGGCAUAAUAUGCCCUCCCAUGACCAAACCAGAAGAGUAUUUUUCUCAAUUAAAAUAAACUUCCAUUGUCAUUUUGUGUUUAUCCCCUGAGAAUAAGAGCAGGCUCAGUGUAGGAAGGGCUCACAGCAGCCCUUUGUUUGCAUACUAUGUGUGGAUUUCAAGAUGACUGAGGUCUGUUAGGAAUCUUUCCUAGAAAAAAAUCAUCCAAACAUCUUCCCUUCAUUUCCUUCCUGAAUUCUCUCAUCAAGGCAUAGAAAGGAAAAGACAGUAUGAGAGAGUCUAAAACUUCUCUUCCGAGUGGUCGCAGCACAGAAUAGUGCAUUGUAAAAUCCAGCAAGAGAAACAAUUUCCGAUAAAGAAAUUGCACCUGCCAAAUAAACCUGAAACACGUUAGAUUUGAUCUAAGCCACACAUCUCCCACACUUAGUGGCCCACUUUUGAAGGCCCCUUCCCUGGCCCUCUCCCCUCCCCCACCCUUGUCCCUCUCCCACCCUCAGGACUCUCAUCCACAGGGCACGUGUCUACAUCUUGUCUCUACUCCAGUUGGAAUCGUGCCUUCACAAUAUUUUAUUGACAUACACGUUUGACAAUUUCACUCUCUGCCUGAGUCUCACAAUCACUUUUCAAGCAUAAAUCCCUGGAAAGACCGUUUAUGUUUCUCUUGACUCUCAACCCAUCCAAAAUAGGCAGCCAAAUGUGAUUUUGUGUGUGACAUAUUUUCAAUAUUUAUAAACCUUAGACACUGGUCUCACAUGCAGGGAUAAUAAGAAUACUUUUUUGUUUUGUUUUCUGCUAAUGUCUUGACCAUGCUAUUUCUAACCAUUAAUCUUUGGAUGUCAC
Molecule: long non-coding RNA, 4629 nt
Filed under: Sus scrofa (pig)
Lineage: Eukaryota; Metazoa; Chordata; Mammalia; Artiodactyla; Suidae
Description: lncRNA (ENSSSCG00005007547.1)
Source: RNAcentral